GUCUGCCGGCAGUUCUAGGCGAUUUGGAGCUACCACCCCAGCGUUUGUUAAAUGAAGGAAGCUUUGCAUCCCGUAAAGCGCAGACAGCAGCAAGUGACUGCAGCCAGCCUGGGAGAAUUCGUGCGUCUCUGGUUGAACCCAGUCUUCGGAGCACCUUCCUGGCGCCAGACUCUGGGGUGUGACUUGCAUGUGUCUCAUGCAGCCCUCCUGGUACACCUCGCAGAAGAGGAGGUCAUGGAUUUGAAGCAUGAGGGGAAUUUGACACAUCAUUGCUGGUGUGAAAUGGAGAAGACUGCACGCCAAGGAAUAUGGACAGCUUUUGGGAGUAAUCCCAGCUGACAUCUAGCAAGGAAAUGGGGACUUCAGACCUACGACUGCAAGGAACAGCAUUUGACCAACAACUUGAAGGAGUAUGGAAGCAGAGUCUUCCCUAGAACUUCUGUAAUGGAUCCAUACGAGGCUCACCUUUUCGGGCUCCUGUAGCUCCUCACUUGGACUUCUGGCUGCACACUCCAGUAGUUGUGAUGUUUAGCUUGGCCAACUGUACCUUUCCCUCUCAUAUGAGAGCAGGGACCAUGGUUUAUGACUACCCAUGAUCCAUCAGGCCGAGCACCCUGCUGUCGUCAUAAAUAUGCCAGAAUGUUGAAAACGACCACCCAGGACUCUCUCAGCGUCUGCUGGUAAGUAGUUUUACCAUCGCGCUCUGGCCCCUGUGAUCCAGGUCGUGUGUUUUAGCAUCUUGUAUCAUUGGAAAGUGAAGGCGACACACCCGGGCCUUGAGCAGAGCCUUGCUGUACAAAAUGAGAACAGCUUCAUCACAAACAAAGGCACACUUGGCACUGGGUGCUCAGGCCCCAUGCCAGAUGUUUGCCAGGCUCUGGACGAAUCUACAGGUGGGAUGCUCUCUUGACAUUGCCCUCCUGUUCUUCGUCUAGACUGCCCGGUACACAAACCCCCUGGGCGUGUAGGAGAACAUUUGCGAAGCGUUUUCCAGUUUGCCUCUCCUGUGAGCAGACUGGGCUGUGUCCUCAUUGUGUUCAUCACGAUGGCUGAAAACGGAGGGGUCAAUUAACAGGCAGCGUCACUGCCUCCUGACGGAUCUGCUUCUCCCAACACGAGUGCCAUGGUGAUGGACUGGCAGAAUCUUGAACGUGCAAAGGUGUGUUUCCACAAAUAUUUUGCAUAAACAGGAAUUUGCUUGCAAAUGUGACUCAUUUUCCUUCGUGUUUUUUAUUUGUUAUCCUGUACUGUUUGCCAUGCAUCUUUCGGCACACGUGGGGCCCUCCCUGGAGGGCUCUGAUCAGUGAUUCCGUGGGGAAGCCAGAGGAAGCUUGGGGUUGUCUCUGUGCCCGCCCACCCGUGUUUCUAGAGUUAUCCCUCUGCUUCUAAGCUCCUGCAGAAGGGGAGGAGAAGGGGCAAAAUCCUCAACGGAGAACCAAACAUCCCACUGGGGCGAGGAAAGCUCUGGGCCUGGGGCGAGGGUAGUUCUUUUUUUACUAGAAAGACGUCUGUUUAGUGACUUUAAAACUCCCUGCCAUGGGGGGUUCAAGAGAGGGGAGAUGCUGGAGAUGAAUAGGCAGACCACAAAGAGUUUAGGGCAAUGCAAAUGCUGUCUGUGAUAUAAUAAUGGAUUUAUGUCACUACCCUCUUGUCCAAAUCCAUAGAAUGUAC
This is a long non-coding RNA of Neogale vison (American mink), 1671 nucleotides long. RefSeq lists it as uncharacterized. The transcript has 3 exons. The record is from RefSeq and is a predicted model, not a curated record. NCBI's taxonomy places the organism in Eukaryota, Metazoa, Chordata, Mammalia, Carnivora, Mustelidae.